UACGGGGGGGGCAAGCGUUGUUCGGAAUUACUGGGCGUAAAGGGCGCGUAGGCGGCUUUUCAAGUCGGGCGUGAAAUCUCCGGGCUUAACCUGGAAGGGUCGUUCGAUACUGUCGAGCUAGAGUGUGGAAGAGGCUACUGGAAUUCCGUGUGUAGCGGUGAAAUGCGUAGAUAUACGGAGGAACACCAGCGGCGAAGGCGGCAUCCUGGACUGGUCCUGACACUCAUGAGCGAAAGCGUGGGGAGCGAUCCGG
RNAcentral lists this ribosomal RNA (253 nucleotides) under uncultured bacterium. Its description in RNAcentral is "partial 16S ribosomal RNA". It matches the Rfam family "Bacterial small subunit ribosomal RNA", at positions 524 to 776 of the family's 1533-position model. The record is from RNAcentral.